GUGUAAUGUUUUUCAGAUUCUGUUUUCCAAUCUCCACCUCAACUACUGGAGUGCUACAGGUGUAAAAACAAUGAUCCUAAAAUACCCCUGGCUAGUGACACAUGUCCCUGCAGUAUGAGUUCCAUAUCAGCCCUUAUGAGGGCUAGAAAUGAGAGACCCCCUGUGGAUGGCUUGGUAACUGCUGCACCAAACUUUGUGGACUGGACCCGAAACCCAUGACAGGCGGUCAAUGAUAAAAAUGAGUGAUUUGUGGCUAGCCCUAAUAUUUAUUCUCAGCCUUUUGGCUUUGUUUACAUAGCCCCAUGAGCUUACAGUUCACAUAUAGAAUGGUUGCUUUCAGUUAAACUGGUGUGGGCCUAUGAUUUCUAUAACGUUAAAUACCACUGCUAAAUAUUCAGAACAACAAACUAUGACGGAGCAGGCAUAGAAGCAAGCAUAGAAGCUGCUAACCUGGUUGGACUAAAUACUUCAAAUUUCGUGAGGGCGUGACAUCAUAAUUGACUGAUAAAUACGGUGGUUUCACAAAGCUCACGUCAAACAGGUUUCUUCUCGUGCAGGCGGCAUCUUCGACAUUUGAGUUAAACAGAAACAGAAUAUGGGAAUAUUUUGAUUCGUCUUUACGGUGCAACCAGACCUUCAUAUUACCUUCUCCCACCUGCACGACUAGACCAUCUAGAUUACCAGUCCUUCUGAAGACUUUGAUUUGAGGAAUGGACGACAGCAGCGUGCCUUUCAUUAGGAGCCAUAUCCACCACGUCGGUUCCUGGCUGAAAACAUGGCACCACUGGACAUGUGUGUUCAGCUGAUGAUUUAGCCUUCGAUACCUGGCCGCAGAUUCGUCUGGUUAACUCAAGUUCAAAUAGACAUGUUUGUGAUGCUCCACUUUGUUGUGUAAUAAAGCUUUACAACACGA
This is a long non-coding RNA of Alosa alosa (allis shad), 913 nucleotides long. RefSeq lists it as uncharacterized. Lineage: Eukaryota; Metazoa; Chordata; Actinopteri; Clupeiformes; Clupeidae. The record is from RefSeq and is a predicted model, not a curated record. The transcript is spliced from 2 exons.